Molecule: long non-coding RNA, 209 nt
Organism: Larimichthys crocea (large yellow croaker)
Lineage: Eukaryota; Metazoa; Chordata; Actinopteri; Sciaenidae
Exons: 2
Source: RefSeq, a predicted model, not a curated record
AUCUGCAACAAUAGGCCGUGCUAAAAGAAAAAAAGUCUCUCGCAUGGGACAGUUGUGGCAGGAGUCCCCAAGUAUUUACAGCAUGGACACCCUGACUGGUCUCCAUAAAGAAUGGACAGAGCAUGAGUGACGUGACCCACAGAUUUCCGGAGCAGGUCGUGUUCCAGCGCUGAGAGAACCAGAACAUUAAAGACAUAAAACAGAAACAA